Molecule: unclassified non-coding RNA, 2084 nt
Filed under: Agrilus planipennis (emerald ash borer)
Lineage: Eukaryota; Metazoa; Arthropoda; Insecta; Coleoptera; Buprestidae
Description: uncharacterized LOC108738614, transcript variant X1
Source: RNAcentral
ACCACCGAGCCCCAUUACAACUGCGGUAAUAAAAGCGCGAAAGCUUCGCUCACGCAAACUUUCCAACUUUUUAUUUGACGUCUUCAAGCGCCCCUUAUUGUCUACCAAUACCGAGUAUUGUUGAAUUAAAUUUUUUGUUGUUUUUACCAUCGGACUCGACUCGAACUGAAAAAUGUACAAAACUCGGCUCAUUCUUGUGAUUGUUUUUUUCGGAAUUGUAACCGCUUCGGUGGCACUGAAAUGCUGGCAGUGUGGACAGUAUAAUGAUGGGGUUGGCUCCAUCACGCCCUGCAUCAAUCGUUCGCACACUGUGCUCAAAGAAUGCCCCCAAAUUGAUCAGACUUAUUGUAUAAAAUAUGUCAGCGAAGGUUCGCUAGUCAAAGACUGUGUCGCCCAUUGCGUCGAGAAAGAAACAUGGGGUACGAAGACGCAUUGUUGUAAAGAAGAUGGUUGCAAUUCUUCCUGGACCACAGAAUCCGAAAAUCCCAUAACGCUUCUGCUUUUCGCUUUAGGUUUAGCUUUGCUUCAAUGAAGAGGUCGAUUACUCUAUUAUUAUUGUUAUUAGCAGAAAGAAAAGUCGUCGUCAAUAGCGUACAGAACCAACCCACCAUUAGUUUUAUUAUUCGAAAGAAAAACUGGGCCUUAUAAACAUGCGGUAAGUGUUUCUUUUUUAUUUUAUUUAUUUAUAUUUGUUUUCUAUAUUGUUUUACUCUUUUACUCAUUUUUAUGAGAAUGUCUCGAAUAACACUCAAAAACAAUUUGGUGUACGCGGUUGUUCCUUAAGGGUAAUCGUAGGAGGAGAAAAAUCAUUAGAAUUAAAAACAGACACAUGGACAAUUAAGUGCUAAUUAAAUGCUGAUUAAGUGCUUUAAUGAGAUAUUAAAUGCUAAAGGCAUUUUUUCAAAUGUUACUAUUCUGCUAACUUAUAAUUAAGUAUGAUUUAUGUAUUUUGGUCCCAUAGGACUUAAAUGCUCAUUAAAUGCUUUCAGAACAGACAGUUACCAAUUAAAUGCUCUUAUUAGUUUCCCAGUAUAUAAUAUUUCGCGACUUAGACAAAAAGGGACUAAAAGCAGGUUUAAACAUAGAAAAUUACUGUUUAGAUAUUAUACUGUUUAAAAGCUCAUUGAAGGCCCAUUAAAUGCCGUAAUGAGAAAUUAAAUGCUUCAGGCAUAUUUGCAAAAGUUACCUCCUGUCUGUCACAUGAAGACUAAGUUAGCAGAGCAUUCGCGAAAAAAAUGUUUUAUCAAUGAGUAUGGCUUUUUUGGUCCUAUAGUACUUAAGUGCUCAUUAAAAGCCUUCAGAACAGACAGUUACGAAUUAAAUGCUCUCAUUAGUUUUCCAGUAUAUAAACGAUUUCGCGACUUGGACAAAAAAGAAUCUAAAAGCAAGUUUAAACAAAGAAAAUUACUGCUUGGGUCUUGUAGUGAUUAAAGACUCAUUGAAGGCUAAUUAAAUGCCCUAAUAAGAAAUUAAAUGCUUUGGGCACUUUGAAAACCAAAAACGCCAUUUCUAUUGUCUAAACAAUUUUUUCGCUCAUGUUUUCAGUUGGCAGAAGAGGAAUCAUCCCAGAGGAUUUAAUAUCUCAUUAUGGCACAUUAUUAGCAUUUAGUGAGCAUUUAAUUGCCUUAGUGUCUGUAUUUGUUUCUGUUGACUUUGGUCUUCCUACUUAAAGGAUAUUCGCCAUUCGUUUAAUCGUAACGGUCCAAGCUCAACAUCGUAAAUAAUUUGAACAUAUAAUAAUCUCGACGUUUCGAAUCGCCCCGUAUAUUUCUUCCUUUUUAUCGCAGUUCCGUUUGCGCUUUUCGUAUUAAAAAUUAAAGCGGUUUUUACGAGAACCCAUUUAAUUCGUGAUCAAAGGACAAAAGAAUUUUGAUUUGUGAAUCUCUUGCGGUUUGAUUGUAAGAGUACAUAAUACUUUAAAAUGCUUUUUAGAAAUUUUAUAUAUACAUAAUUAAUUAAUAGAUUAACAAUAACGAGUACCUAAUAAUGCACAUUUCUACAUAUAUAUAUAUAUGUAUUAUUACCUACGAAUUUUAGAAAAAGUAUCGCAUAUUAAAUAGUAAUAUAACAAUAUACAAUAGAUC